GAUGAACGCUGGCGGCGUGCCUAAUACAUGCAAGUCGAGCGAACAGACGAGGAGCUUGCUCCUCUGAUGUUAGCGGCGGACGGGUGAGUAACACGUGGAUAACCUACCUAUAAGACUGGGAUAACUUCGGGAAACCGGAGCUAAUACCGGAUAACAUGUUGAACCGCAUGGUUCAACAGUGAAAGACGGUCUUGCUGUCACUUAUAGAUGGAUCCGCGCCGCAUUAGCUAGUUGGUAAGGUAACGGCUUACCAAGGCAACGAUGCGUAGCCGACCUGAGAGGGUGAUCGGCCACACUAGAACUGAGACACGGUCCAGACUCCUACGGGAGGCAGCAGUAGGGAAUCUUCCGCAAUGGGCGAAAGCCUGACGGAGCAACGCCGCGUGAGUGAAGAAGGUCCUCGGAUCGUAAAACUCUGUUAUUAGGGAAGAACAAAUGUGUAAGUAACUAUGCACGUCUUGACGGUACCUAAUCAGAAAGCCACGGCUAACUACGUG
Molecule: ribosomal RNA, 497 nt
Filed under: uncultured bacterium
Lineage: Bacteria
Description: partial 16S ribosomal RNA
Rfam family: Bacterial small subunit ribosomal RNA
Source: RNAcentral